UUUUGUGGAGGGUUCGAUUCUGGCUCAGGAUGAACGCUGGCGGCGUGCUUAACACAUGCAAGUCGAACGGGAUCCCAGGAGCUUGCUCCUGGGUGAGAGUGGCGAACGGGUGAGUAAUGCGUGACCGACCUGCCCCAUACACCGGAAUAGCUCCUGGAAACGGGUGGUAAUGCCGGAUGCUCCAGUUGACCGCAUGGUCCUCUGGGAAAGCUUUUGCGGUAUGGGAUGGGGUCGCGUCCUAUCAGCUUGAUGGCGGGGUAACGGCCCACCAUGGC
RNAcentral lists this ribosomal RNA (275 nucleotides) under Bifidobacterium adolescentis. RNAcentral's name for it is "partial 16S ribosomal RNA". It matches the Rfam family "Bacterial small subunit ribosomal RNA", at positions 1 to 274 of the family's 1533-position model. Lineage: Bacteria; Bacillati; Actinomycetota; Actinomycetes; Bifidobacteriales; Bifidobacteriaceae. The record is from RNAcentral.